AAGAUGCAGUGGAACUAGAAACAGGAAACCACAGAAGAGAAACUGUUUCUUUAUCUUGCUCCCUGGCAGUUAUUCCUGUUAUAACAGCGAGAGAGGGAGUGAGGCGGGUUUUGUCAGAUAAGCGGCAAGAGGUGCUUUGAGAGGUUGAGUACAAACUCCCUGAACAUUUAGAAUUCAUUUUGAGGAGAGAGAACAUUUCAGGACUAGUGAGAAAGGUACUGAUGAGGAUUCAGUAAGGAGAUUCUGGCAUGCCUGCGGCAUCUAAACCCUGAAGGCCAACCCUGAAUUGUCAACUGUUAAAUUUUCCACCCUCAGCUCUUCUAGAAGAGUUCAUGACAACAGAAAAGAGAGCGUUUGUUGAGAACGACAGGUGUUGAUCUCACGUGGGUCAUUGCAAGUAUACCUUUUUACUCUUAUUCAGGCAUUCCUCAAAACGCGCGAACAACAAAGCGAGAAGCAACCCAAACUCUUUCUUCUUCAAGGGAAAUUAAGUUGAUAGCGUCGUCAAAAGGAUCAUUUUUAUCUCAUUGUCCCUAGCAUCAACAGUUAGUAAGCAAAUAACCAUUCUAGGAGCUUCGCUGCAAAAUGGUAACCAUGAGGACACUGAUUCUGCAUUCUUCUACUGAGAAAGAUGUAUUUAAAUGCAUGGUCUAAGAAUAGAGAUAUUAAAAUGACCAAUGAGCAGACCCUGGUGUCGGUAUUGCUGGAGAUGUACACAGCAGGGGACGUUGUCUAGGUUCCCUGUCUACGAGCAACUCUGGAAGGGUCCCUUUUCCAUAGGCACCUGUUGAAAUCCUUCCCUUAUUCUCCAGCUCCAAGGACCCUUCUUCUAAGAAGUUUUAUAAGAUUCUUCAGACACAAUUAACUGUUCCUUUCUCCAAAUUCUUUAGUGUUCAUCAACGUCUUCCGAUAACAGACUGAGAAGUGUCUGUCUUGUGUAUCUACCGCAGGCACUAGUAUGUUGCACAGAGUAGUUGUGGGAAAUAAAGGAUCUUUCUAGUCGCGGUCUCUUCUCGCCCUCUGCAGUGCUCAGGGAUUCUGUCACUCUCCUCUCUCCAGGUCGGCUACCAUGCACUGCACCUGGUGUGUUCCUUCCAGGGGGACAGGACAGAAAGCUCCGAUCUCUCCUUCCUUGCUAGCUGCCCCCGAUAGACUCUUUGUUGUCAAGGCUGUCUGCUAAUCGUUCCAAGAGAAACAGACAGAAGAGAGUGACAGGAUUACGCGGUCAGAUCCGGGAAGCCUGUCUCGGGUUGAGCGAGAGCCAAUAGGCACCAUGAAAUGGAUCAAGGUGUCAAGACCAAGGGUAGAGAAGUACCUGAAGUGUCAUACUCGACAGGGAAGCAGACAGGGAGUGGCCAAAGAUGACAGGUGUCUCCAUGAAGGAGGCGGGGACCUAGGAGCAGACAGAGUACAGGACCCAAUGCAGGAUCCACAUUCAUUUCUCCUUUUUCAUCUCCAAUCUGGGAAAUACUCGGACUCUUUGAAGAAUUGUACCGGCCAGGUUUACUUAUUUAUUUUGAGAGCGAGAGAAAUUGUGAAUGGAGGAGGGGCCGAGAGAGGGAGAGAGAGAGAGAAUCCCAAGCAGACUCUGCACUGUCAGCACGGAGCCAGAUGCAGGGCUCGAACCCACCAACCAGGAGAACGUGAUUGAACCAAUGUCUGCAGCUUAACCAACUGAGCCACCCAGGCACCCCUGCAGCAACCUUAUGACCAUGAAGGACAGAUAAAGGUAGUGGCAUUGCUCUUCACGUCUUUAGACUGAAGAAGCAAAACCAAUAACCAUUGACUUUUGAACAUCUUGCUGUGCAGGAAUACAAAUCCAUGUUGGUGGAAGCCAUUGUAGCCGGAUUCCUCCUACCUGUGUGGCUAAAAUAUUCCUGACUCACACUCCAAUAGACCAGAGAAGCCAAAAUUGCUCUUUGAUCUAUUCAGAAAAGCUUCAUCGAGAAGGGAGAUUGCAAGAUCAUUUUUACACCAGGAGAAAUGAAUGGAGAUAUCUGCAUUAGAAGAAAUGGAAACUCCCACAAUUCAGUGCUGCUUUGGAUGCUGUUUGCAGGUGGGGAUAAGAGAAGCAAAAUCAAGGCAGCUCAUUUCUAGGCUAUGCCAAUGGACAGGGUGUGGGAAGGCCAGACAUGAGUACGGUGACAAACACGUACUCGUAGGGCUUUGAGAGCUGGAAGUAUGAAGGCCCAGUUCGUAAUGCGACUGGGAAACAUGGGAAUUAGGUGAAGAUAAGGCAGUAGGCAGGUCAGAAACAGAGGUACCGUAAAGAUAAAAGGAAAACACUUCAGAAGCCACUGGAGACGUCAUGAAAUUUGAGGGCAUUUAGGGCAGAGCGGAAAGCUUAGUGCACAUGGGUUCAGAAAGCUGGAAUUCAGAGGUGCCUGGGUGGCUAAGUCGGUUGAGUGCCUGACUCUUGAUCUUAGCCCAGGUCAUGAUCUCAGUCUGUCAGUUCCAGCCCUGUCUUGGGCUCCACACUAACAGCACAGAGCCUGCUGGGGAUUCUCUCUCCCUCUUCCUUUGCCCCUCCCUCCCUCUCUCUCCCUCUCUCUCUCUCUCUCAAAAAUAAAUACGGAAGCUUAAAGAAAGAGGUUGCAACUCAAACCUCGUUUCGCCUACAUACCAGUUGAAUAAAGCGGCCAAUUCAUGCUCUUUCGGAAUCUGUUUCCUCCCUCUCUGAUAAUAAAAGAAAUCGUAUUUCCUUUUGCGAGGUAGACACCUCAAGAGAGGUAUGAGAUGAUCACUCAAGUGGAGGACCAAGUUGUAGCCCAACUGCAGGGUGAUUUUGUACAUGUCGUCCAUAAACGUGGAAGAGAGUUCUUUAAGCUGUAUUUUCCCUUUCACUGAGUCUCAACAAGAAGGGAUGAUUUCUAAUACAAGGUGCACCUCCUUUCUCAGGGUUUUUCGUGUGCCGAGGUUUCGAUGGUGUUGAAGAAAAACCUCUGACUUUCUGCUCUCUUUCAGAAGCAAUGCCAGCAAAGUCCCUUUCACAUAAUCUUAGCAGGUUAGACCCCUCAUAGUUUUCAAGCCAAUAGUAGUUGAUGAAUGUUACAUUUUGGUCUUUUCACCUUUUUUAAUUGGGGAACCUUGUGUAACACUCUAUUUUUGGUUCUAGCACCUUCACUAGUAGGGGUUACAACUCAAAGCCAAACUCAUUCAGCCAACAGCCCUAAAAAUACUCUUGGUUUCUGCCAGUCAAUUUUCUUCUAUUUUCACAAUUAGUGGUUCUGCCUGGAAACUGCCUGCCAACAUGCAAAUCUCUUCCAAGGACUGAUGGAAAUCUGAGAAUGUGCUAAGCUGUGUAAGGUUUAAGAGCAACAUUAUUCAUUCACUAUUUGAAAUAUUUAAACACAUGUAAAUCAAAAAAAAAGGAUGAAAUCUCAUUAUAAGAAAUGAAUGGCUGCUUUCCACUCUUUCUACAAUAUAGUCUUGAUAUCCAUUUACAUGCGGUUUGUAAUAUUAAUAUUAUCGUAGUGAAAUAAAUCACAUCCUUCACUUUUACAUUUUUAAUUACAUUUUACUGCAUUUGUUCUUUUGUUUAUAGUUAACUAAUAAAAUAUUUAUUACAUCUUACAUAUAUGAUGGCGUUUCUGUAUUUUAAUCAGAUUUCACACAUAAUCUUUCCUCCCUCUUUUAGUAUCUUUUUUAUGACCUUACACACCACAGGAUGUUGUUUUGUGGAAAACCUCAUUAUUUUUUAAUGCAUGGCUAUUUA
This is a long non-coding RNA of Felis catus (domestic cat), 3715 nucleotides long. RefSeq lists it as uncharacterized. The record is from RefSeq and is a predicted model, not a curated record. The transcript is spliced from 6 exons. NCBI's taxonomy places the organism in Eukaryota, Metazoa, Chordata, Mammalia, Carnivora, Felidae.